UGUAACUCAAUAGAUAUGUUGUUCAGGAAUCAGGAAACAUUUAUUGCCAUAAUAUAUCAGACAUACAUUUGACUUGGCGGUUGGUGCGUAACAGUAGACAGUACAACAAUAGACAACAAGACAACAGUGCACGAGUAAUAAAAUAAAAUAAAAUGCUAUGGGUUAGUAGUAUAAGGCUAUGGGUUAGUUUAAAAUAAAAUAAUACAAGUUAAAAAAAAUAAAGUAAAGUUGCUCUUUAUGCAUGUUUGAAAUCGGUUCACUGUCUUUAUAAAACUUCUAGUAAAUCACAACUGCGUGCACAGAUCGCAGUAAAAGUAUUCGUUGUCCAUAACCAACCUGACAGCAGGCGGAGCAGGUGUUUAGAUCAUUCAGUGCCUUGCACUGACAAGUCUGGCCCGUCAAAGUGUUUUUACAGGAGUAGUACCUGCCACAGCUGCCUCAGGUAUGAGAAGACAUUUAAAGCAACAAGCAAGACCUAGGUGUAAAUCGUUGUUGCUUUCAAAAUAAAACCAGCUGGAUAAAAAUCGCCCGUGAAGAAGAACCGUACAAUCGUUCAGGUUAUGGUUAAGGUGUUAUGGCUCAGAUAACAAAGUAAUGCAACUUUAGCUGAAAAAAGGAAAUGUACAUAAUGAGUACGUAUUUGGUCAUGUUAAACGUUGUAUUUCAAUAUGGGUUUUAUUUUGAAACUUGGGAAGGGACGUCUCUCUAACUUUGGAGUUAGUUACACCUUGCUGCGUCCCACCCAUAAAACCUGUGUGCAUUUGCCAUAAAAGUGCACAGGUGGGUCUGUGAGACGUGGACAGAGGACAGCUACGGACCCAAAUGGAGAGCAAGACUCCGUCCAAAGGUCCUGUCGGAGCAGGUGCCUGUGGUCUGCAGCCCCUUCCUGAGGUAGCCGAGCCCGAAGACCUGAGCAAUGUGGAGGGCAGCAAGUGCCAACCCGGACACCCUGCAGGGGCAAGAGAUGCAAAGGAGGUGCACUCAUUGGACAGCUCUCCGUCUUCCUCGGAGAGCGAGGACGAGGGUCUCUGCAAGAAAGACAAGAAGAAGAAAAAGCUGAAAAAGAAAACAAAGAAGAAGAAGAAGAAGGAUUCCAGCUCAUCCUCUUCCUCCUCCUCCUCCUCCUCCUCCUCCUCCAGUAGCUCUUCAGAGAGUGACAGCGAGGAUGACAAGAAGAAGAAGAAGAAAAAGCAGAAGAAGGACGAAGGGCAGAAAGAGUGUGUCCGGGACGAUGUUAUCAUAUGUAGUCCUGGUGGCCAGAUGGAGCAGCCGGGUGCAGAAGGUGCAGAAGGUGUGAAGAUGAGCCAGGAUUGUAACUCCUCAGAUGGUGAAGAUGACAAGAAGAAGAAGAAGAAGAAGAAGAAGAAGAAGAAGAAGCAGGACAAGAAGAAGAAGAAAAAGAAGAAGGAUUCGUCUUCUUCCUCAUCUGACUGUUCCUGCUCCGACUGCGAGGACGAAAAGAAGAAGAAGAAGAAGAAGAAGAAGAAGAAGAGGAAGAAGAAGGACUCAAGCUCCUCUUCCUCAGACAGCUCUUCAUCAUCCUCUGACAGCGAGGAUGACAAGAAGAAAAAGGACAAGAAGAAGAAGAAGAAGAAAAAGAAAGACAAGAAAAAGGAUUCCAGCUGCUCGUCUUCAUCUUCAUCUUCUGACAGUGAUAAAGAUGAGAAGAAAAAGAAGAACAAGAAGAAGAAGAAGAAGAAGAAGAAGAAGAAUGACAAGGAAAAGAAGAACAAGAAACACGAUGAAGAGCAGAAUGAGCUCUGCGGUGGAGCUGCUCCUCCAGCUUCUGGUGAGUGUUUUUCUGCAGGUGGUGAGACUCCGGGACCAAGUGCUGAUGGAGAGAAAAAGAAAGACGAUUCUGCCGACAAGGUCAAGAAAGAGCCUAAAGAAAAAGAAAAAUGUGGAGCAAAGGCCUUCGCUGACGCUAUUGAGGAAGGCCACCUGAGUGACGACGAGGGAGAAGGAGAGAACCACAAGAAGAAGAAGAAGAAGAUGCUGAAGAAGAAGAAGGAGAAGGGUUCCGGCUCAUCAUCAGACAGUGAUGACGACGAAGAAGACAAGAAGAAGAAAAAGAAGAAGAAGGAGAAGGACUCCUCCAGCUCCUCCUCUUCGUCUGAUAGUUGCUCCUCAGAUAGUGAUGAGGACAAGAAGAAGAAGAAGAAGAAGAAGAAGAAGGAUUCUGGAUCCUGCUCGUCUUCUUCAUCCUCUGAUAGCGAAGAGGACAAGAAGAAGAAGAAGAAGAAGAAGAAGAAGAAGAAGAAGAAAAAGAAGAAGAAGAUGAAGGAUAAGGACUCCUCCUCUUCUUCAUGCUCGGAUAGUGAAGAGGACAAGAAGAAGAAGAAGAAGAAGAAGAAGAAGAAGAAGACGAAGAAGAAGAAGAAGGAUAAGGACUCCUCGUCUUCUUCAUGCUCUGAUAGUGAAGAGGACAAGAAGAAGAAGAAGACGAAGAAGAAGAAGGAUAAGGACUCCUCGUCUUCUUCAUGCUCUGAUAGUGAAGAGGACAAGAAGAAGAAGAAGAAGAAGAAGAAGAAGAAGAAGAAGACGAAGAAGAAGAAGGAUAAGGACUCGUCCUCUCCUUCAUGCUCUGAUACUGAAGAGGACAAGAAGAAGAAGAAGAAGAAGAAGAAGAAGUCCUCUUGCGCUGAGAGUGAUGACGACAAGAAGAAGAAGAAGAAGAAGAAAGAUAAGAAGAAGAAGAAGAAAAAGAAGGAUUGUUCCUCUGGAUCGUCCAGUGAUUCGAGUGAUAAUGACAAGAAGAAGAAGAAGAAGAAGAAGAAGAAGAAAAGGAAAGAUAAGAAGAAAAAGAAAGACAAGAAGAAGGACUCCGAUUCUUCUACCAGUGCUGAUGACAAAAAGAAGAAGAAAGACAAGAAGAAGAAAAAGAAGGACAAAAAGAAGGACUCAAAGUCCAGUUCAUCGUGUCCAUCUGACGGCAGUGACAAGGAGAAUAAAAAGGACAAGAAGAAGAAGAGGUCUGGUUCAUCAGGAAGUGAAACUGACAAUAAGAAAAAGAGGGAAUGCUCUGAUGGCGAGCGAGGCGGCGAAGAUCCCGGUGCCGGUCGGGCCGGACUUUCAGCUCCCGGUGGCAGCUGCUCUACGCCUGCCGCUGCUCCCGCCGUCCCCUACGUGUCCCUCCCCUCCAAACCUGUUGUGAAGAUGGAUCCUCUGCGUCCUUCAACUGUCUGCCGGCCCUCUGCCCCUGUCUCCUCUGCCCCCGCCUCUUCUGCCCCUGUCUCCUCUGCCCCCGCCUCUUCUGCCCCUGUCUCCUCUGCGCCCGCCUCUUCUGCCCCUGUCUCCUCUGCGCCCGCCUCUUCUGCCCCCGCCUCUUCUGCCCCUGUCUCCUCUGCGCCCGCCUCUUCUGCCCCUGUCUCCUCUGCGCCCGCCUCUUCUGCCCCUGUCUGCUCUGCCCCCGCCUCUUCUGUCCCUGGGUCCUAUGUCCCUGGGUCCUUUGUCGCUGGCUCCUAUGUCCCUGGGUCCUAUGUCCCCGGCUCCUCGAGUGUUGGAGAUAAGGCCCCCAAUCGUAGGCCUCCCAGCCCCAUGGAGGCCCUGAUGGGGAGCCCGAGGCGGUACGGCUCCUCCCAUCUCAGCUCAAGCGACCUAUUGAAAGGCCCCAAGCCUUAUCAAUGAUGAGAUCAAAACACGCGUUACUCGUGUUUCCUUUUAAAGCAACUGGAGGAUGUCGACCAUGAGAGGAGAUAUGAUUCCUUGAUUUCAUGCUGGAUAAAUGUGAUGACUGGUGGAAAAACGUAUUGUGACACGAUGAAAAUGUCCAAGAUGAGAAGUAUAAUCCAAACAUGGAAAGUCACGAUUGUGUUUUUAAUCAAUAAAGCGCACAUGUGUAAUAAUA
This is a long non-coding RNA of Gasterosteus aculeatus aculeatus (three-spined stickleback), 3847 nucleotides long. NCBI's taxonomy places the organism in Eukaryota, Metazoa, Chordata, Actinopteri, Perciformes, Gasterosteidae. The record is from Ensembl.